UACGUAGGUGGCAAGCGUUGUCCGGAUUUACUGGGCGUAAAGAGCGCGCAGGCGGUCGUUCAAGUCGCGUGUGAAAGCCCCCGGCUCAACUGGGGAGGGUCACGCGAUACUGAUCGACUCGAAGGCAGGAGAGGGUAGUGGAACUCCCGGUGUAGUGGUGAAAUGCGUAGAUAUCGGGAGGAACACCAGUGGCGAAGGCGACUACCUGGCCUGUUCUUGACGCUGAGGCGCGAAAGCUAGGGGAGCAAACGGG
Molecule: ribosomal RNA, 253 nt
Filed under: uncultured bacterium
Lineage: Bacteria
Description: partial 16S ribosomal RNA
Rfam family: Bacterial small subunit ribosomal RNA
Source: RNAcentral